RNAcentral lists this ribosomal RNA (887 nucleotides) under uncultured bacterium. Its description in RNAcentral is "bacterial SSU rRNA". It matches the Rfam family "Bacterial small subunit ribosomal RNA", at positions 61 to 936 of the family's 1533-position model. The record is from RNAcentral.
GUCGAACGGCAGCACGGAGCUUGCUCUGGUGGCGAGUGGCGAACGGGUGAGUAAUAUAUCGGAACGUACCCUAGAGUGGGGGAUAACGUAGCGAAAGUUACGCUAAUACCGCAUACGAUCUAAGGAUGAAAGUGGGGGAUUCGCAAGAACCUCAUGCUCGUGGAGCGGCCGAUAUCUGAUUAGCUAGUUGGUAGGGUAAAAGCCUACCAAGGCAUCGAUCAGUAGCUGGUCUGAGAGGACGACCAGCCACACUGGAACUGAGACACGGUCCAGACUCCUACGGGAGGCAGCAGUGGGGAAUUUUGGACAAUGGGCGAAAGCCUGAUCCAGCAAUGCCGCGUGAGUGAAGAAGGCCUUCGGGUUGUAAAGCUCUUUUGUCAGGGAAGAAACGGUGGUUUCUAAUACAGAUCACUAAUGACGGUACCUGAAGAAUAAGCACCGGCUAACUACGUGCCAGCAGCCGCGGUAAUACGUAGGGUGCAAGCGUUAAUCGGAAUUACUGGGCGUAAAGCGUGCGCAGGCGGUUUUGUAAGUCUGUCGUGAAAUCCCCGGGCUCAACCUGGGAAUUGCGAUGGAGACUGCAAGGCUAGAGUUUGGCAGAGGGGGGGUAGAAUUCCACGUGUAGCAGUGAAAUGCGUAGAUAUGUUGGAGGAACACCGAUGGCGAAGGCAGCCCCCUGGGUCAAGACUGACGCUCAUGCACGAAAGCGUGGGGGAGCAAACAGGAUUAGAUACCCCUGGUAGUCCACGCCCUAAACGAUGUCUACUAGUUGUCGGGGUUUUAAUUAACUUGGUAACGCAGCUAACGCGUGAAGUAGACCGCCUGGGGGAGUACGGUCGCAAGAUUAAAACUCAAAGGAAUUGACGGGGACCCGCACAAGCGGUGGA